CCUACGGGAGGCAGCAGUAGGGAAUCUUCCACAAUGGACGAAAGUCUGAUGGAGCAACGCCGCGUGAGUGAAGAAGGGUUUCGGCUCGUAAAGCCCUGUUGGUAGUGAAGAAAGAUAGAGGUAGUAACUGGCCUUUAUUUGACGGUAAUUACUUAGAAAGUCACGGCUAACUACGUGCCAGCAGCCGCGGUAAUACGUAGGUGGCAAGCGUUGUCCGGAUUUAUUGGGCGUAAAGCGAGUGCAGGCGGGUCAAUAAGUCUGAUGUGAAAGCCUUCGGCUCAACCGGAGAAUUGCAUCAGAAACUGUUGAACUUGAGUGCAGAAGAGGAGAGUGGAACUCCAUGUGUAGCGGUGGAAUGCGUAGAUAUAUGGAAGAACACCAGUGGCGAAGGCGGCUCUCUGGUCUGCAACUGACGCUGAGGCUCGAAAGCAUGGGUAGCGAACAGGAUUAGAUACCCCAGUAGUC
Molecule: ribosomal RNA, 465 nt
Filed under: uncultured bacterium
Lineage: Bacteria
Description: partial 16S ribosomal RNA
Rfam family: Bacterial small subunit ribosomal RNA
Source: RNAcentral